CCAAUAGCGUAUAUUAAAGUUGUUGCAGUUAAAAAGCUCGUAGUUGAAUUUCGGGAUCAAGAAAUCGGUCAUGCCUCGGUAUGUACUGGUUUUAUUGGUUCUCACCUUCUAAAGAACCAUAAUGUCAUUCAUUUGGUGUUAUGGGGAAUUAGGACUGUUACCUUGAAAAAAUUAGAGUGUUUAAAGCAAGCUUACGCUUG
RNAcentral lists this ribosomal RNA (200 nucleotides) under uncultured Glomus. Its description in RNAcentral is "partial small subunit ribosomal RNA". It matches the Rfam family "Eukaryotic small subunit ribosomal RNA", at positions 591 to 797 of the family's 1831-position model. The record is from RNAcentral. Lineage: Eukaryota; Fungi; Glomeromycota; Glomeromycetes; Glomerales; Glomeraceae.